GAUGCUGCUUACAGAGCAGCACUUGAAGCUGAUCAAGCCAGGGAAAGGCAAAGGAAAGAAGAGCAGGAACGUCUAGAGAGGGAAGCAGCUGAAGCAGAGAGGAAGCGCAAGGAGGAAGAAGAAGCUCAACAGAGAGCAGCUCGUGAGGCUGCAGAAAGAGAGGCUGCCUUGGCUAGAAUGCGGGAGGAGAAAGCCCUAUCACUUGGUGUUGAACCUGAAAAAGGACCUGAUGUUACUCAAGUUUUGGUACG
RNAcentral lists this unclassified non-coding RNA (251 nucleotides) under Hevea brasiliensis (rubber tree). The record is from RNAcentral. Lineage: Eukaryota; Viridiplantae; Streptophyta; Magnoliopsida; Malpighiales; Euphorbiaceae.